This 253-nucleotide ribosomal RNA is filed under the name uncultured bacterium. RNAcentral describes it as "partial 16S ribosomal RNA". It matches the Rfam family "Bacterial small subunit ribosomal RNA", at positions 524 to 776 of the family's 1533-position model. The record is from RNAcentral.
UACGGGGGGGGUAAGCGUUGUUCGGAAUUACUGGGCGUAAAGGGCUCGUAGGCGGCCAACUAAGUCAUACGUGAAAUCCCUCAGCUUAACUGGGGAACUGCGUGUGAUACUGGAUGGCUUGGAUUUGGGAGAGGGAUGCGGAAUUCCAGGUGUAGCGGUGAAAUGCGUAGAUAUCUGGAGGAACACCGGUGGCGAAGGCGGCACCCUGGACCAAUAUUGACGCUGAGGAGCGAAAGCUAGGGGAGCAAACAGG